This 431-nucleotide ribosomal RNA is filed under the name uncultured bacterium. RNAcentral describes it as "partial 16S ribosomal RNA". It matches the Rfam family "Bacterial small subunit ribosomal RNA", at positions 28 to 506 of the family's 1533-position model. The record is from RNAcentral.
GAUGAACGCUGGCGGUAUGCUUAGCACAUGCAAGUCGAACGGUACCUUCGGGUAUAGUGGCGGACGGGUGAGUAACGCGUGAGAAUCUAUCUUCAGGUCGGGGACAACAGUUAGAAAUGACUGCUAAUACCGGAUGUGCCGAAAGGUAAAAGAUUUAUUGCCUGAAAAAGAGCUCGCGUCAGAUUAGCUAGUAGGUGGUGUAAGAGACUACCUAGGCUUCGAUCUGUAGCUGGUCUGAGAGGACGAUCAGCCACACUGGAACUGAGACACGGUCCAGACUCCUACGGGAGGCAGCAGUGGGGAAUUUUCCGCAAUGGGCGAAAGCCUGACGGAGCAAUACCGCGUGAGGGACGAAGGCUCUUGGGUCGUAAACCUCUUUUCUCAAGGAAGAUUCAGACGGUACUUGAGGAAUAAGCAUCGGCUAACUCUGU